Molecule: microRNA precursor, 98 nt
Filed under: Camelus bactrianus (Bactrian camel)
Lineage: Eukaryota; Metazoa; Chordata; Mammalia; Artiodactyla; Camelidae
Also listed under: 2 other names
Description: mir-544 microRNA precursor family
Rfam family: mir-544 microRNA precursor family
Source: Rfam by way of RNAcentral
AUCACUUGGGGAUCUUGUUAACAUGCAGAUUCUGAUUCAGUAAGUCUGGGGUGGGGCCUAAGAUUCUGCAUCUUUAACAAGCGCCCAGGUGAUGCAAC